AGACUGUUUUGUUGAGUAUAGCAGCAUCAGAUAUUUGUUUGGAACAUUGUCUUGGUCCACCCAGUGUUGUUCCAAAAGCUGGUUCAUUCAUGCUGUGGUUUGGAUGGUGACCUGGUCUUUGGAAGGAUCCCACUUAAGGAAACAAAAGAAAUUUGACCAGAUAUGGCAGUGAACAGCACUAUUGUCAAUUUUUCCAACUGCACAUUCCAAUCUGAAAGCAAUUGUUCUGGUGAUGACGUUUUUGAUUGCAUCGAUUCAUUUCCAGGAAGUGUUCUCACUAACUCAUAUUUGAUGAUAAACGUCAUCCUUAUGCUCCCUCUGAACUGCUGGAUUCUGUGGCUGGCAUUAAAAACUACAAGCGCUGCAUCCUCAGACUUUGUUAUUUUUAAUCAUUCUGUUGCUGAAGUUAUAAAUGACAUUUCUUUCUCUUUGUUUGUGUUAGGCGCUGUUUAUAGAAAUAAACUUCUUAUUCUUAUCGGGAAUUUCCUGGGCAGUACAUUUAUAGUGGGUCGGCCACUCUUUCAAACUUUUUUCUGUGUGGAGCGCUUCCUGGCUGUAGUCCAUCCGCUGGUCUACCUAAAAUACACAAAAUCCCCUAAAUUUAAAUUGCCAUUUGUUGCGCUUGUCUGGAUAAUAAUCCUGAUAUUUGGAUGGUUUAUUAUGGACUCCUAUCCUAAAUUGCCCAUAUGGUAUUGCAUGGGAUUGUUUCUUGCAAUGUUAAUUGUGUGUACAAUUUGCUCUGUCAUGAUUUUAUUGGUUUUGAAAAGGCCUAAGCCAGGGGAGGGAGAUAAAGAGGGAGCGUAUCAACGCAAGAGAAAGGCUUUCAUGGCAGUUAUAAUCAUUUUGAUUACAUUGUUGUUUGGAUAUGGGACAGUCGCAUGUGUUAUUGUACUGAGGGAUCAGCUUUCAUACCAUACUUACUGUUUGGUUUUAGGUCUAAGUUGGUGGUUCCUUUUGCCAAACAGUGCAGUUCAGCCAUAUCUCUAUCUGUCAAAAAUGAACAAGUUACCAUGCACUGAAAAUCUUUAAUUCAGAGAUUUUUGACAUGGAUUUUAUGUUGACAUUACAAAGUUUUUUUUAAAUAUUGUUAUAUAUGAAAAUAAUUUGUGGGUUAAAGGCGGAGUGCACGAUUUCUGAAAAACGCUUUGGAAAACGGAGUCGGGAUGACUACCAAAACACACUUGUAAUCAAUCAGCAGUAAGGUACGUGCCUACUAAACGACAUUGUUGCCUGGGUUGCGUACGUGUGGGGCGGUCCUAUCAAAAGAAGGUACAGAUUCUAUUGGGGUAGGGGUGUGUUAAGAUUAGGGCUGGGUAUUGACAAGGGUCUCAGACACAAAACAUAUCAACAUACAAUGUAUCACGAUAUGGUACAAAAUGUUGCGGUACAUUGCAAUUCUUUUUUAUCAAAAAUGUAGAAAAAAAUUGAGCUGAUUUUUUUUUAUCCAAAGUGCUUCCACACGUCGGCAGGCAUUUUACAUUGGCCGAAUUGCUGUAUAUGACAGACAACUGGACAGCGACAACUACAGCAGUGGCGGAGGGGGUCGUUUGACGCACACAAAGGGAUUAGAUUUUUGCUUAAAUAUCUAUACUAGAGAUCGAAAUAUCGAUAUACCAUUGUGGGCAAAUGUAUCACGAUAGUAAGCUGUAUCAAUAUUUUUGCGCAGCCCUAGUUUAAAUGAUUUCAAAUGUCAACAUUAGGUGUGUCAGACCGAUUGGCUACACUGUAAAAAAAAUUCUGUAGAAAUUGCAGCUGGGUUGCCGGUAAUUUACCGUAGAUUUAAGUUUAUGUUUUUUUACUGGCAACAUUUUUUUCAAAGUUAAAUGAACAUUAAACAUUUACAAGUCUUUGUCUUUACAGAGUAAAACUAAAAAACAGCAUCAAGCAAAACAUUCUGGGAAACAAAAUCUGAAGCAAAAAACAGAAAAAGGUUGAUGAUGAUUUCUGGUUUCCAGAAUGCUUUGCAUGAGGCUGUUAUUGUUUUAUUCUUUAAAGAUAAAGUUUAUUUAACUUUGAACAAACUCUUGCCUGUAAAUAACAUAAAUGUAAAUCUACGGUAAAUUACCGGCAACCCAGCUGCAAUAACAUUGUAAUUUCUACGAAAUUUUUUUACAGUGUAGGUUUGGAGCUUGCAGUCGAGGGAGGAGCUGAAGAAAGAGCCUCUGAAGUCAGAGAUUAUGGACCCUGCCUUUAAUGCAUUGACUUACAUUUAUUCAUUUAGAUGCCUUUGAUGAGGUCGCAUUUAGCAUUUUGUCUAAGGAGCCAACAAUACACGUAGUCUAAAAAGCAAAAGAAUUGAACAGAAUUGAAGGAAAGAUGAACUAUGUAGAAUUUUCUUAAUAAAGUUUGACUGUGGACAACUGACGGUUAGGGGUCAGUUACUGAAUUUGAAAGAGGAAUAAAAUGCAGUAUGCAUAAUAAAUGUUUUGUUUUUAAUUCAUAGAUUAUUAUAACAUUUAGAUUUUUACCUCUACAAAAGUUUUUUUUUCUUAAAAAAGGAACAUUUAGAAAACCAACAUUGUGAAUUAAGAAAUUACUUUGUGUUAUAUUCUAUAUUGAUAAAAAAUGUUACAAAAUAAUGUUUUGAAGGAAACUAUUCUUUUUAAUCUUAAACUAACUUUUUACUUCUUCACAAUGUGUUUUUUAUUUUUAUAUAUUAAAAUAACUAACCUUUGUUAUGUAAUAAAAUAUGCUUUUUACUGUCAUUUAUUUUUGCGCACCUGCAUAUGUUGAAGUCCUGUUUGCAUGACUGACAUGUUCAAAAUGAAACUGACAUUUAAAUAAGUCUUUUAUAAUUUUUGACCCAGUGAGAACCCAGCUAAAGUAUUUUUUGUGAUUUGUUUACCAAAUAAAUUCUUCUACAGAAUGUAAAGAACAUGUGAAAUUAUAACCUUGAUAUCUUUAAUAUUGACGUAUGGUUAGGUCAAAGGAAUCAAUUUUGAUGCAAGAUUAAGACUUUAGCCUGUAUUUCACAGGGUCACAUAUUUAUAUAUUUGAGAAGACCAGCUUGUUUUUAUUUUAAAGUUGUUGUUUUUUUAAAUAUUUCUUUACAUUUUAUUCAGAUAAUAAUUUGAAGAGUUUGGUUCCAAACCGAGAUAACGUUUUAAAUUUGUACAAUUUAAAAAAUAUAUUAAUAGGUUAUCAUGUUUUUUUAUUGUGUUUUGUUGUGAUACUUAGCUGUAUGUUUUAGUUAUGAAGGCUUAAAUCAAAACAAACCAACUGCAGUUUGAUUAAUAUUAAUUGGAACGCAAAUCUUAUGAAGAUUUUUGAAAAAAAAAGAUCUCGUUUUGGAACCAAACUCUUCAAACAAGAAAACUACUUCCUUGAAAUGUGUGUGUUACAUUUAGAUGUAAAUCUUCAGUCCAGUGAUUCAAAUGGUUACAUUUAAAAUAUAAAAACAUGGAGCUUUCUUUCCUCAAUGUGGCAUUUGUUCUGGAUUGUGGCCUUCACAAUGAAGCAAUUAAUGGCAAUUCCAUGGGUUUAAUCCCUGUAUGGGCCACUUGCUUUUCUACUGUGAUUUGCUCCCUGUUCUGGUGCAGGGUUUUCUCAUAGACACUGCUACAAUGUUCACUUCAGUAGUUCAUUUGGGGCCAAGUGACCUUUAUUUGUGACCCAGUGGCCCUGUGUAACUUUAACCCUAUAGGCUCCAUAUGGUGUAAUGGUUAGUGCUCUGGAUUAUAAAUCCAUGUUCAGUUUUGGUGGAACCUGCUGUAGGGGCCGCACUCUGAAAAC
Paramisgurnus dabryanus is the source of this 3732-nucleotide non-coding RNA. The record is from RefSeq and is a predicted model, not a curated record. NCBI's taxonomy places the organism in Eukaryota, Metazoa, Chordata, Actinopteri, Cypriniformes, Cobitidae.